GACGAACGCUGGCGGCGUGCUUAACACAUGCAAGUCGAACGGAAAGGCCCUGCUUUUGUGGGGUGCUCGCGUGGCGAACGGGUGAGUAACACGUGAGUAACCUGCCCUUUACUUUGGGAUAACUUCAGGAAACUGGGGCUAAUACCGGCUAGGUGCUCCUGCUGCUUGGUGGGGUUUGGACAGUUUCGGCGGUUGGGGAUGGACUCGCGGCUUAUCAGCUUGUUGGUGGGGUAGUGGCUUACCAAGGCCUUGACGGGUAGCCGGCCUGAGAGGGGGACCGGGGAAAAUGGGACUGAGAGACGGCCCAGACGCCUACGGGAGGCAGCAGGGGGGAAUAUUGCACAAUGGGGGGAAGCGUGAUGAAGAAACGCCGCGUGCGGGAUGACGGCCUUCGGGGUGGAAACCGCUUUAGCCUGUGACGAAGCGGGAGUGACGGUAAUGGGUAAAGAAGCACCGGCUAACUACGUG
This 468-nucleotide ribosomal RNA is filed under the name uncultured bacterium. RNAcentral describes it as "partial 16S ribosomal RNA". It matches the Rfam family "Bacterial small subunit ribosomal RNA", at positions 28 to 507 of the family's 1533-position model. The record is from RNAcentral.